Molecule: long non-coding RNA, 1113 nt
Organism: Alligator mississippiensis (American alligator)
Lineage: Eukaryota; Metazoa; Chordata; Crocodylia; Alligatoridae
Exons: 3
Source: RefSeq, a predicted model, not a curated record
AUGAGUACAUGCUUUGAAUGCAUUUCCUGGGUGAUGCCCUGGGGCAGGGCACCUUUGGUGCCUGCCACUUUAAGGGCAAAAAACAGGCAGCAGCCAGGUGCCUGAUGAGGGCAGCCAUUUUGGACCCAGGAGUAUAAGCUGGGCUGCAGUUUGCUGCAGGAGGAAGGAGGUAACAUCAGGCUGAGAGGCUGCUCCGGCCACAGUUGGGAGGAAAACAGGAGACUUGGGCACAGAUCCAUCCCCUCUAUAUGGAAAGACUGCAGAGAUAAAUGUCACAGUCUCCUGUCGUGCCUACUGUAAGGAACUUCAACUCAGAAUCUAAAAUUGGCACAUGGAUCACUGCUACAAGACAGCCUGAAAGUCACAUGGGAGCUUCACAGAGUUAGAAGAGAUUUGGAUAUUACAAAGCUAUGAUCUAUCUUCCCCUUGCUGUCAAAUGCUGCAUUAUUUGAACUGCUUCAAAAGUACUGGAAGGGCCUUUGUUACUGUUGCAUUAUCACCUGAAUACCAGACAGGUUAAUUUUCAUAUAUAAGUAUGUAAGAGGGAAAAAAUAUUGUAUUAAUAAUAAUCCAUGCACGAUACCAGAGAUAUUGAAUAAAUUAUCUAGCUCUAAAGAAUUUUCCAAACUUUCUGCUGCCUCAGUUACCCCUGAAAUCAUGCAAUAAGUUAAACUAGAAAAUGAGUUAAUUGUAUAUUAACUGUGUAGUAGGAGUGACAGCUGUAAAUAGAUGUAUAUGACAAUGAUAAUAGGGAACCAGAAGGAAACAAGGAUACAAUAACGGAAAUCACCUCAUCUGAGGUUGAGGGAAAACUUAGACUGCUUUCUAUGACAAAAAUGUCAGGGCACAGGUAACCGACAUCCCCAACUGAAAGAACUGGAAUAUGAAAUACAAUAUCCUGAAGUAGGGAUCAUCAAUGAAUCUGUCAGGUAGUCCCCCUUGACUGAACAAGAGCAAAUAUAGUGCCGAUGUCCAAAAAAGGAAAAAAAAACCUAUGACCCAGUUAACUGCCAACUGAUCAAUUUGACUUUAACUGUUAACACCAGUGAGGUUUCUGGAAGAACUAUGUGCACUUACAAAUUUAUGAAUGACAAUACACUAAUAGAUACUACC